Spea bombifrons (plains spadefoot toad) is the source of this 343-nucleotide long non-coding RNA. RefSeq lists it as uncharacterized. The transcript has 2 exons. The record is from RefSeq and is a predicted model, not a curated record. Lineage: Eukaryota; Metazoa; Chordata; Amphibia; Anura; Pelobatidae.
UGAAGAUCUCGGUUUUCCGGGGGCCUUCAUCUCCUGAAGAGCUGUUAGACGAGGUCUCUCAUUACUUGAAGUCGUCCAGUCCAGACGCUGCUACCCUCAUAGCUCCUCUAAAAGCUGCAUCCAUUGAUUCAUGUGACACAAUAGCGAAUGUGAAGGGAGGAAAGAAGAAAAAAGACAAGCAUUAGAAGAACAAAAGUGAUACAAUGUUGCUGGAACAUGCAUUUAACAAACCUCCAUUAUACUUAUUAAUGCGCUUCUGCAUGUGUGUUUGUAAAUGGUCUGCAAUGUAUAUACUGAUCUUUACUUAAAGGUCAUGGGUUUUCAGAAUAAAACCUUAAACAAA